Long non-coding RNA from Mus musculus (house mouse), 676 nucleotides. RefSeq annotates it as predicted gene 15217. The transcript has 4 exons. The record is from RefSeq and is marked validated. Lineage: Eukaryota; Metazoa; Chordata; Mammalia; Rodentia; Muridae.
GCUGAGUGGGGAACUCUUGCUUACUGUGUUACGGGAUCCUCCCACUCGGCGGACGUGGGCCCUUCCUGGAGUUUAUGUCUAGUUGUAGCUUUCCUAACCGUGCUCCUUGGAUCACAAGGACCCCAGUCUCCGCUCCUCUACGCAGCCGAGCGACCCCAUUUCAUGUUAAAUACACCAAGCAAUAGCCCUAAGGACCAGCAUGCUCUAAUCAGAACCGCCUGUCUCCGUUGGAUUUGGUUCAAGAAGAGAAAGAUGCCUGCCAGGACUGAAGACACUCUGGGGUAUCAUGAAGCCAAAGGUGGGAAUGAGUCUCCUAGAGUCGAGAUCUCUUCCUCCACAGGGCUGAGGCGCUGCCACUCCACAACAGGGCACGUGUCCUCCAGAUGGCAGAGGGUGCUGCUUCCUUGUUAACAUUAAAUAAGAAUGGAGACCAAUCCAUCCUGGCCAUUGCCAUCUCUCUGCCAUCACUGGCUCCUGCCCCCACAGCUGAUAACACCUCCAGUUGCCACCUCUGACUUUCAGUCUACCCACAGCCCCAUCUCGACAUUCAAGAGUAUGGAAGAGGAAAUAAGAUAGAAAGGUCUUAGUUUAUCUUUAAAAUAAUGACUCAUUUUAUUUUCUUUUAAUAUGUAGUUAUAAAUAUAUUUGUCAAAAUAUAUGAUCAAUAUGGUCAAAA